CCGGUUUCUUCUUCCACUUCCUUCAGAUCUCCACCCGAGCAAAGAAGAAAUGAGGCACCUUUUGCAGAUAAAUGUGUGGAGUGUCUGGGAUCUUGCAGAAGAUGUGAUCCAGGCUUCUUGUGAGGAUAAAAGCCUUAAUCCCUGCAGCCCUCCCACCCCAAAUGAGACAAUCAAGGAUGGAAACGGAUACAUUUGCAGAUGAAAACCAGCUUUUAGAAAGUGCAGUUGGUGCUUUUUCAGAGACCAGUUUCUGGACCUCUUGAUGGCUAUCCUACUUGAAUGACUCCUCUGAGGCUUCCUCUUUGAAGGUCAGGUUCCAGACAUGACGUUGUUCCCAGCUCCAUGGAAUCCUUAGACAGGAAGCAGUGGUGUACUGGUUGGAUCAACGCACGUCCGACCCGGCUCUUAGGUCUUGGGGAUCUUCUCUGGAUUCCGCAGGUUAUCUUCUGAACGACCGUGAGACCGCCUCUCCGUAACUCGUAUUGGGACGGACUACAGCCAGAAGAAGUCUCCAUGAUCCUUAAAGCUUAACCGGGGGACUCGUCACUAGAAUUUGCUGCCAGAGUUCUAAAUAUUCAGUCUUGUAUUGAAACCCCUGUAUUUUGUACUGUUCUUUAAAUGACCAAUAAAGUAUUUGUGCU
Molecule: long non-coding RNA, 641 nt
Organism: Cyprinodon variegatus (sheepshead minnow)
Lineage: Eukaryota; Metazoa; Chordata; Actinopteri; Cyprinodontiformes; Cyprinodontidae
Exons: 14
Source: RefSeq, a predicted model, not a curated record